This 497-nucleotide ribosomal RNA is filed under the name uncultured bacterium. RNAcentral describes it as "partial 16S ribosomal RNA". It matches the Rfam family "Bacterial small subunit ribosomal RNA", at positions 28 to 507 of the family's 1533-position model. The record is from RNAcentral.
GACGAACGCUGGCGGCGUGCCUAAUACAUGCAAGUUGAGCGCUGAAGGUUGGUACUUGUACCAACUGGAUGAGCAGCGAACGGGUGAGUAACGCGUGGGGCAUCUGCCUUUGAGCGGGGGACAACAUUUGGAAACGAAUGCUAAUACCGCAUAAAAACUUUAAACACAAGUUUUAAGUUUGAAAGAUGCAAUUGCAUCACUCAAAGAUGAUCCCGCGUUGUAUUAGCUAGUUGGUGAGGUAAAGGCUCACGAAGGCGAUGAUACAUAGCCGACCUGAGAGGGUGAUCAGCCACAUUGGGACUGAGACACGGCCCAAACUCCUACGGGAGGCAGCAGUAGGGAAUCGUCGGCAAGGGACGAAAGUCUGACCGAGCAACGCCGCGGGAGGGAAGAAGGUUGUCGGAUCGUAAAACUCUGUUGGUAGAGAAGAACGUUGGUGAGAGUGGAAAGCUCAUCAAGUGACGGUAACUACCCAGAAAGGGACGGCUAACUACGUG